This 460-nucleotide ribosomal RNA is filed under the name uncultured bacterium. RNAcentral's name for it is "SSU rRNA". It matches the Rfam family "Bacterial small subunit ribosomal RNA", at positions 26 to 518 of the family's 1533-position model. The record is from RNAcentral.
AGAGCGAACGCUGGCGGCAGGCCUAAUACAUGCAAGUCGAACGGACCCUUCGGGGUUAGUGGCGGACGGGUGAGUAACACGUGGGAACGUGCCCUUUGGUUCGGAACAACUCAGGGAAACUUGAGCUAAUACCGAAUGUGCCCCCUCCUUUGAUUAGGGGGUGGGAAAGAUUUAUCGCCAUUGGAGCGGCCCGCGUCUGAUUAGCUAGUUGGUGGGGUAAAGGCCCACCAAGGCUACGAUCAGUAGCUGGUCUGAGAGGAUGAUCAGCCACACUGGGACUGAGACACGGCCCAGACUCCUACGGGAGGCAGCAGUAGGGAAUCUUGCGCAAUGGGCGAAAGCCUGACGCAGCCAUGCCGCGUGAAUGAUGAAGGUCUUAGGAUUGUAAAAUUCUUUCAGCGGGGACGAUAAUGACGGUACCCGCAGAAGAAGCCCCGGCUAACUUCGUGCCAGCAGCCGC